This 219-nucleotide ribosomal RNA is filed under the name uncultured Lactobacillus sp. RNAcentral's name for it is "partial 16S ribosomal RNA". It matches the Rfam family "Bacterial small subunit ribosomal RNA", at positions 144 to 355 of the family's 1533-position model. The record is from RNAcentral. Lineage: Bacteria; Bacillati; Bacillota; Bacilli; Lactobacillales; Lactobacillaceae.
UAACAACCUGGAAACAGAUGCUAAUACCGGAUAACAACAGAUGAUGCCUAUCAACUGUUUAAAAGAUGGUUCUGCUAUCACUCUUGGAUGGACCUGCGGUGCACUAGCUAGUUGGUAGGGUAACGGCCUACCAAGGCGAUGAUGCAUAGCCGAGUUGAGAGACUGAUCGGCCACAUUGGGACUGAGACACGGCCCAAACUCCUACGGGAGGCAGCAGUC